RNAcentral lists this ribosomal RNA (437 nucleotides) under uncultured bacterium. RNAcentral's name for it is "partial 16S ribosomal RNA". It matches the Rfam family "Bacterial small subunit ribosomal RNA", at positions 29 to 507 of the family's 1533-position model. The record is from RNAcentral.
AGCGAACGCUGGCGGCAGGCUUAACACAUGCAAGUCGAGCGGGCAUCCUAGUGGUGUCGGCGGCAGACGGGUGAGUAACGCGCGGGAACGUGCCCUUCGGUUCGGAAUAACUCAGGGAAACUUGAGCUAAUACAGGCUACGCGCGAGAGCAGUAAGGCUUAUCUGCCGAAGGAUCGGCUCGCGUCUGAUUAGCUAGUUGGUGAGGCUACUGCGCACCAAGGCGACGUUCAGUAGCUUGUCAGAGAGGAAGGGCAGCCACACUGGGACUGGGACACGGCCCAGACUCCUACAGGAGGCGGGAGUGGGUGAUAUAGGACAGUGGCGGCAACCCAGAUCCAGCCAGGCCUCUAGAGUGAUGACGUCCUGAGGGUAGUAAAGCUCUUUUAUCCGGGAUUGUAAUGACGGUACCGGAAGAAUAAGCCCCGGCUAACUUCGUG